GACGAACGCUGGCGGCGUGCUUAACACAUGCAAGUCGAACGGAAAGGCCCUGCUUUUGUGGGGUGCUCGAGUGGCGAACGGGUGAGUAACACGUGAGUAACCUGCCCUUGACUUUGGGAUAACUUCAGGAAACUGGGGCUAAUACCGGAUAGGAGCUCCUGCUGCAUGGUGGGGGUUGGAAAGUUUCGGCGGUUGGGGAUGGACUCGCGGCUUAUCAGCUUGUUGGUGGGGUAGUGGCUUACCAAGGCUUUGACGGGUAGCCGGCCUGAGAGGGUGACCGGCCACAUUGGGACUGAGAUACGGCCCAGACUCCUACGGGAGGCAGCAGUGGGGAAUAUUGCACAAUGGGCGGAAGCCUGAUGCAGCAACGCCGCGUGCGGGAUGACGGCCUUCGGGUUGUAAACCGCUUUCGCCUGUGACGAAGCGUGAGUGACGGUAAUGGGUAAAGAAGCACCGGCUAACUACGUGCCAGCAGCCGCGGUGAUACGUAGGGUGCGAGCGUUGUCCGGAUUUAUUGGGCGUAAAGGGCUCGUAGGUGGUUGAUCGCGUCGGAAGUGUAAUCUUGGGGCUUAACCCUGAGCGUGCUUUCGAUACGGGUUGACUUGAGGAAGGUAGGGGAGAAUGGAAUUCCUGGUGGAGCGGUGGAAUGCGCAGAUAUCAGGAGGAACACCAGUGGCGAAGGCGGUUCUCUGGGCCUUUCCUGACGCUGAGGAGCGAAAGCGUGGGGAGCGAACAGGCUUAGAUACCCUGGUAGUCCACGCUGUAAACGGUGGGUACUAGGUGUGGGGUCCAUUCCACGGGUUCCGUGCCGUAGCUAACGCUUUAAGUACCCCGCCUGGGGAGUACGGCCGCAAGGCUAAAACUCAAAGGAAUUGACGGGGCCCCGCACAAGCGGCGGAGCAUGCGGAUUAAUUCGAUGCAACGCGUAGAACCUUACCUGGGUUUGACAUGGAUCGGGAGUGCUCAGAGAUGGGUGUGCCUCUUUUGGGGUCGGUUCACAGGUGGUGCAUGGCUGUCGUCAGCUCGUGUCGUGAGAUGUUGGGUUAAGUCCCGCAACGAGCGCAACCCUUGUUCACUGUUGCCAGCACGUUAUGGUGGGGACUCAGUGGAGACCGCCGGGGUCAACUCGGAGGAAGGUGGGGAUGACGUCAAGUCAUCAUGCCCCUUAUGUCCAGGGCUUCACGCGUGCUACAAUGGCUGGUACAGAGAGUGGCGAGCCUGUGAGGGUGAGCGAAUCUCGGAAAGUCGGUCUCAGUUCGGAUUGGGGUCUGCAACUCGACCUCAUGAAGUCGGAGUCGCUAGUAAUCGCAGAUCAGCAACGCUGCGGUGAAUACGUUCCCGGGGCU
This 1346-nucleotide ribosomal RNA is filed under the name uncultured bacterium. RNAcentral describes it as "partial 16S ribosomal RNA". It matches the Rfam family "Bacterial small subunit ribosomal RNA", at positions 28 to 1381 of the family's 1533-position model. The record is from RNAcentral.